GACGAACGCUGGCGGCGUGCUUAACACAUGCAAGUCGAACGGGCCCGCCCCUGUUUUUGGGGGUGGGUUGAGUGGCGAACGGGUGAGUAUCACGUGAGUAACCUGCCCCCUGCUCCUGGAUAACUGCUUGAAAGGGCGGCUAAUACGGGGUGUGCCGGCUGGUCCGCAUGGGCCUGGUCGGGAUAGUUUCAUCUUCGGGUGUUUCGGUGGGGGAUGGGCUCGCGGCCUAUCAGCUUGUUGGUGGGGUGAUGGCCCACCAAGGCGGUGACGGGUAGCCGGCCUGAGAGGGUGGGCGGCCACACUGGGACUGAGACACGGCCCAGACUCCUGCGGGAGGCAGCAGUGGGGGGUAUUGCACAAUGGGCGGAAGCCUGAUGCAGCGACGUCGCGUGAGGGAUGGAGGCCUUCGGGUUGUGAACCUCUUUCUCCGGUGGUGAAGGCCCUGUCCGUUGCGGCGGGGUUGACGGUAGCCGGGUAUGAAGCGCCGGCUAACUACGU
RNAcentral lists this ribosomal RNA (498 nucleotides) under uncultured bacterium. RNAcentral's name for it is "partial 16S ribosomal RNA". It matches the Rfam family "Bacterial small subunit ribosomal RNA", at positions 28 to 506 of the family's 1533-position model. The record is from RNAcentral.